RNAcentral lists this transfer RNA (116 nucleotides) under Sporisorium scitamineum. RNAcentral describes it as "transfer RNA-Ser(CGA)". It matches the Rfam family "tRNA". From Rfam's summary of the family: Transfer RNA (tRNA) molecules are approximately 80 nucleotides in length. Their secondary structure includes four short double-helical elements and three loops (D, anti-codon, and T loops). Further hydrogen bonds mediate the characteristic L-shaped molecular structure. tRNAs have two regions of fundamental functional importance: the anti-codon, which is responsible for specific mRNA codon recognition, and the 3' end, to which the tRNAs corresponding amino acid is attached (by aminoacyl-tRNA synthetases). tRNAs cope with the degeneracy of the genetic code in two manners: having more than one tRNA (with a specific anti-codon) for a particular amino acid; and 'wobble' base-pairing, i.e. permitting non-standard base-pairing at the 3rd anti-codon position. Lineage: Eukaryota; Fungi; Basidiomycota; Ustilaginomycetes; Ustilaginales; Ustilaginaceae. The record is from RNAcentral.
GGCACUCUGCCCGAGUGGUUAAGGGGUAAGUCUCGAAUUCAAACUAUUCGAUCGUCGCUAUGUGACGGGUUAACUUAUAGGCUCUGCCUGCGUCGGUUCAAAUCCGACGGGUGUCG